UCACAACCAGUCCUUGUCACUGUCCACUAUCCCCCUUCUGAUUCGGAGGGUGUGUCGGUGCUGGAGCUGGAGCGUGACACCACAUUGAACUGCACAGCCGAUGCCAACCCCCCUCCCAGUUAUACCUGGAAGACCUCAGGAACACAUGAGAAAAUGGGGAAGACGCCAGUCCUCCCCAUUGAUGUAGCUGGGAACUACACAUGCACAGCCUCCAACCGUCUUGGCAGUGGGACCAAACAUUUCAUAGUAGUGUCCAGAUCUUCAGGUACAUUCUGGGCCAUCAUCGGAACCGGUAUUUUUGUGAUUUUUGUUCUAUGCGGCGGCUACGGAAUCUUGAAGUGGAGAGCCGGUGCCAAUUCCAUUAUCUGAUCAAGAAACAUCAACCAGUACCUCAGCUGUCAAGGGA
Long non-coding RNA from Clupea harengus (Atlantic herring), 406 nucleotides. RefSeq lists it as uncharacterized. Lineage: Eukaryota; Metazoa; Chordata; Actinopteri; Clupeiformes; Clupeidae. The record is from RefSeq and is a predicted model, not a curated record. The transcript is spliced from 3 exons.